CAGCUGGAGGUACUCGAUGCCCAAUAACUGUCUCCCUUCACCUUAAGGCAUAAAUUUUUAUAAGAGGCAAGAAGAAUGCAAUGAUGUUCAGCCCAAUUACCAGCAGAAACAGCUGCUGCUAUGGAGAAAUAUAUGAAUCCUGGAAGUUUGCUCGAGUACUGAAUUUUCUGACCGACGUUGAUUUAAGGAUGUGGUCUGAAGCUAAAGAAUCUCUCUGGGAGGGAAGGAGAUUCACAUUUCAAAUAGUUUUUAAUGUUGGCAGAUUGUUCUCCAUGGAUCGAGUUCAUGUCUUCACAUCUUGCAUGUAGUGGCACUGACAUUUUUCAGACUGUAUUUUCAAGGAUAUUUGUAUAGCAAACAGCUUUGGAAGAUUGAGAUGGUAUCCCCCACUGGAGAACAGGUCAUGUUUGUUUACUGUCCAGUAUAAUAAAGAAGAUGUCUUCCUUCAGCCAUUUAUGAAAGAUUCAUGAUUCCCCAAGCUUGGAGUUUCCCAGCUGUGAUGCAAACCUACUGCGUGCACAACACCUAUCUGGACUCUCCUCCACACCCUGGGACUGAGUGUCGAGGAGAUCUGACACAAAUAUAGAGUUCAGGUGGCUUGCAGCAUU
RNAcentral lists this long non-coding RNA (608 nucleotides) under Equus caballus (horse). RNAcentral's name for it is "lncRNA (ENSECAG00000043931.1)". The record is from RNAcentral. Lineage: Eukaryota; Metazoa; Chordata; Mammalia; Perissodactyla; Equidae.